GGAAUCUACUCUACAGAAGUAUGUUCAAGUGUGCAAAGAUAUACAAAUAAGCACAGUGACCUUUUCCAUAAUUCACGCCUCAGUCCCCCAGAGCUAUCUAAAUCACAUCUGUCUACUGGCAUACAUGCCGCUGAACUGACUACUUAGGAGAAACAUUCCCUUUUAGAAAAUUACUGCAUGGCUCCUAGUCUUAUCAGGACUGCAAACAAAUUUUAAAAUUAAAGUGCUGAAAAUAAAACAAUACGCAAGGUUGGAUCAAACCAUGCCCACAGGAAAAUAGUAUCUUCAGAAGGUCAGAAACAGGAGAGGGAAAUCGCUGUCUACAAGGGAAGAGUAUGUAUGUCCU
This is a long non-coding RNA of Fukomys damarensis (Damara mole-rat), 346 nucleotides long. RefSeq lists it as uncharacterized. The record is from RefSeq and is a predicted model, not a curated record. NCBI's taxonomy places the organism in Eukaryota, Metazoa, Chordata, Mammalia, Rodentia, Bathyergidae. The transcript is spliced from 4 exons.